CCCGGCCAGGGUCGCGCCUGGCUGUAGCCCGAGUGGGGGGAGUGUGUCUGGACUGUGCGGGCGAGGCCGAGGGCCCAUCUUUACCAAUGCCGAUCCUGCGCCGACUUCAAGUUGGCGGUCGCCAUUGCUCACCGGGCGGAAGCUUGGUGGUAAAUCCUAUGCGACUGGUGGACUUGGGUGAUGAUGCGAGGCGGAACGCCACAGGCUGGAAACAGAGCAAGGAAAAGUCUCCGCCGUCAUCAGUGAAGCGAUCACGUGGGUGAAUUGGGGGGCGGAUCACCCGGAGCCCGCGUGAGGCAUAGGAUUUACU
This 310-nucleotide signal recognition particle RNA is filed under the name Guillardia theta CCMP2712. Its description in RNAcentral is "Metazoan signal recognition particle RNA". It matches the Rfam family "Metazoan signal recognition particle RNA". From Rfam's summary of the family: The signal recognition particle (SRP) is a universally conserved ribonucleoprotein. It is involved in the co-translational targeting of proteins to membranes. The record is from Rfam by way of RNAcentral. Lineage: Eukaryota; Cryptophyceae; Pyrenomonadales; Geminigeraceae.